This 57-nucleotide transfer RNA is filed under the name Ctenophorus adelaidensis (Western heath dragon). RNAcentral describes it as "tRNA-Cys". Lineage: Eukaryota; Metazoa; Chordata; Lepidosauria; Squamata; Agamidae. The record is from RNAcentral.
AGGCCUAAGGGCUGUUAAACCCGCCAUCCAACUUGCAAUCAGACAUCUUCUUAGGCC